Molecule: ribosomal RNA, 472 nt
Filed under: uncultured bacterium
Lineage: Bacteria
Description: bacterial SSU rRNA
Rfam family: Bacterial small subunit ribosomal RNA
Source: RNAcentral
UCAGACGAACGCUGGCGGCAUGGAUUAGGCAUGCAAGUCGAACGGGAGCAGCAAUGCUCCAGUGGCGCAAGGGUGAGGAACACGUGAACAACCUGCCUUCGAGUUGGGGAUAGCUUCUGGAAACGGGAGAUAAUACCGAAUAACAUCACCGGAUCGCAUGAUUUGGUGAUCAAAGCAGCAAUGCGCUUGAAGAGGGGUUCGCGUCCCAUUAGCUAGUUGGUGAGGUAACGGCCCACCAAGGCGAUGAUGGGUAGCUGGUCUGAGAGGACGAUCAGCCACAUUGGGACUGAGAUACUGCCCAGACUCCUACGAGAGGCUGCAGUCGAGAAUUUUGGGCAAUGGACGAAAGUCUGAACCCCCAGCAAUGCCGCGUGCGGGAUGAAGGUCUUCGGAUUGUAAACCGCUGUCAAGAGGGACGAAACAUGACGGUACCUCUGGAGGAAGCCACGGCUAACUACGUGCCAGCCGCCGC